AAUAGUCAGACAAAAUUCAAAACCUAACUUAAUAGUAUGCAUCUGUAACAACGGCUUAGUGUUGGCCAAUCCCAGCAGCCAUACUUCAACCACUCAUAGACUGCGAAAUGUUCAAACUGCAUUCAAAGAAGGCAAAUGCUGAGCUGUAACCGAUCUCACUGUUUCUGUACCUCACUUCUGAUUCCUAUGGUGUCAGAAGCACAUCCGAAGUGGAGCUUUUAGUGACCCUCAGGAAUACUGAGUGAACACGCAAGGAACCCGCAGGACCCACUCGUGUCCAUUGAUCUCUGGGAGUAGAUGGGAGCGACCAUCUUGCCCAGAGACCACGUGCUGAAACUCCUACGGAGAGGUUGGAUUAAAGAUGAGGGGCCCCAUCUGAGGGCAAAUGUAAGCCUUGCCAAUUUGAUAUUGGGUGCCAAGCAGAGUGGCUAAUAUCUAUGCUUUAUGACACGUAUUUUGCUCUGGCCAGACUGAAAAAAGAUAAAUUUCCUUUAUGAUGCAUCUUGGCCCUGGCGUGAUGGUGUGGCAAGCUGAGUCACUAAGGCUGUUCGGGGAAAGGGAAACCACAAGUUUGGCAUGCUGGCAAAAGGGUAAGAAUUUCUUACCAGUCAGGUUUCUGGCUUCUCUCUCUCUGUGCAAACAGUUGAA
Macaca mulatta (Rhesus monkey) is the source of this 648-nucleotide non-coding RNA. The record is from RefSeq and is a predicted model, not a curated record. NCBI's taxonomy places the organism in Eukaryota, Metazoa, Chordata, Mammalia, Primates, Cercopithecidae.